UUAAGACUAACCAACCUGCUUCUGUUGCUCCUCAUGUGUAUAAACCACUUGGCAGACCACCAAAGUAAAGAAAAAGAGAUCCUGAAGAGCCAAGGAACCCUUAUAGAGUUUCUAGGAUGAACAAGACAAUUAAGUGUGGGAAGUGCAAGAAAGAAGGACAUAAUGCAUGAGGGUGCAAGGCAAGCAUCACUGGUGAAACUCCAUGGCAGAGAAGAGAUAGACUUGCUAAAUCAGCAGCUGUAAGUAUUUCCAUGCUUUGAACUAUAUUAAUUUCCUCAAGUAUUUCGUGUCCAAGUGCAUCUGUGAGCACUAGUCAAGGAAGUGGUGGUGGUGCUGCUAGGGGGUUUAAAGGCAGAAAGUUUCAACCAGUUGGUGGAAAGGGCAAGAAUGCAGCUGGCAAAGGCACCUAAAGUAGUAAAUGACAACUUGGAAGAUGUUAAAGUUUCAACCACUUUUUUGUUAUAGUUCACUCGUUUAAUGUAUAUGUCAAGUGUCAAAAACAAUAUUGGCAAUUUUGGUUGAAAAUGUGUAUGUCUGAGCACUAGUGGACUAGUAGUUGGGUUUUAAUUGGAAGAUGUGUAAAGUCACAGGAUGUGCCAAAAACAAUGUUGGCAAUUUUGUAUGCAUGUGACAUAAAGUAUUUUGUUAAUGUCUUCACUUUUAUUUUGUAAAGUCACAGGAUGUUAAUGUCUUCACUUUUAUUUUGUGAA
Molecule: long non-coding RNA, 710 nt
Organism: Quercus lobata
Lineage: Eukaryota; Viridiplantae; Streptophyta; Magnoliopsida; Fagales; Fagaceae
Exons: 2
Source: RefSeq, a predicted model, not a curated record